RNAcentral lists this ribosomal RNA (417 nucleotides) under uncultured prokaryote. RNAcentral describes it as "bacterial SSU rRNA". It matches the Rfam family "Bacterial small subunit ribosomal RNA", at positions 505 to 918 of the family's 1533-position model. The record is from RNAcentral.
GUGUCAGCAGCCGCGGUAAUACGGAGGGUGCAAGCGUUGUCCGGAAUCACUGGGUGUAAAGGGUGUGUAGGCGGGGCUGUAAGUCAGAGGUGAAAUCCCACGGCUCAACCGUGGAACUGCCUUUGAUACUGCAGCUCUUGAGUCCCGGAGAGGUGGCUGGAAUUCGUGGUGUAGCGGUGAAAUGCGUAGAUAUCACGAGGAACACCAGAGGUGUAGACGGGUCACUGGACGGGUACUGACGCUGAGGCACGAAAGCGUGGGGAGCAAACAGGAUUAGAUACCCUGGUAGGCCACGCCGUAAACGAUGGGCACUAGGUGUUGGGGGCGACUUGUCGCCCUCAGUGCCGCAGCCAACGCAUUAAGUGCCCCGCCUGGGGAGUACGCUCGCAAGGGUGAAACUUAAAUGAAUUGACGGGG